UACGUAGGUGGCAAGCGUUGUCCGGAUUUACUGGGUGUAAAGGGCGUGUAGCCGGGCUGACAAGUCAGAUGUGAAAUUCCGGAGCUCAACCCCGGACCUGCAUUUGAAACUGUUGGUCUUGAGUAUCGGAGAGGCAGGCGGAAUUCCUAGUGUAGCGGUGAAAUGCGUAGAUAUUAGGAGGAACACCAGUAGCGAAGGCGGCCUGCUGGACGACAACUGACGGUGAGGCGCGAAAGCGUGGGGAGCAAACAGG
Molecule: ribosomal RNA, 253 nt
Filed under: uncultured bacterium
Lineage: Bacteria
Description: partial 16S ribosomal RNA
Rfam family: Bacterial small subunit ribosomal RNA
Source: RNAcentral